RNAcentral lists this ribosomal RNA (753 nucleotides) under uncultured Comamonadaceae bacterium. RNAcentral's name for it is "bacterial SSU rRNA". It matches the Rfam family "Bacterial small subunit ribosomal RNA", at positions 28 to 776 of the family's 1533-position model. The record is from RNAcentral. Lineage: Bacteria; Pseudomonadati; Pseudomonadota; Betaproteobacteria; Burkholderiales; Comamonadaceae.
AUUGAACGCUGGCGGCAUGCCUUACACAUGCAAGUCGAACGGCAGCACGGGAGCAAUCCUGGUGGCGAGUGGCGAACGGGUGAGUAAUACAUCGGAACGUGCCCAAUCGUGGGGGAUAACGCAGCGAAAGCUGUGCUAAUACCGCAUACGAUCUACGGAUGAAAGCAGGGGAUCGCAAGACCUUGCGCGAAUGGAGCGGCCGAUGGCAGAUUAGGUAGUUGGUGAGGUAAAGGCUCACCAAGCCGUCGAUCUGUAGCUGGUCUGAGAGGACGACCAGCCACACUGGGACUGAGACACGGCCCAGACUCCUACGGGAGGCAGCAGUGGGGAAUUUUGGACAAUGGGCGAAAGCCUGAUCCAGCCAUGCCGCGUGCAGGAUGAAGGCCUUCGGGUUGUAAACUGCUUUUGUACGGAACGAAACGGCCUUUUCUAAUAAAGAGGGCUAAUGACGGUACCGUAAGAAUAAGCACCGGCUAACUACGUGCCAGCAGCCGCGGUAAUACGUAGGGUGCAAGCGUUAAUCGGAAUUACUGGGCGUAAGGCGUGCGCAGGCGGUUAUGUAAGACAGUUGUGAAAUCCCCGGGCUCAACCUGGGAACUGCAUCUGUGACUGCAUAGCUAGAGUACGGUAGAGGGGGAUGGAAUUCCGCGUGUAGCAGUGAAAUGCGUAGAUAUGCGGAGGAACACCGAUGGCGAAGGCAAUCCCCUGGACCUGUACUGACGCUCAUGCACGAAAGCGUGGGGAGCAAACAGG